CCUUAGAGUUUGAUCCUGGCUCAGGAUGAACGCUGGCGGCGUGCCUAAUACAUGCAAGUCGAACGAAUCUCUUCGGAGAUGAGUGGCGAACGGGUGAGUAAUACAUAGGUAACCUGCCCCUGUGCGGGGGAUAACAGGAGGAAACUCCUGCUAAUACCGCAUAGCCAUGAGCACCGCAUGGAGCUCAUGCCAAAUAUCCUUUCGGGGAUAGCGCAGGGAUGGACCUAUGGCGCAUUAGCUUGUUGGCGGGGCAACGGCCCACCAAGGCAACGAUGCGUAGCCGGCCUGAGAGGGCGGACGGCCACAUUGGGACUGAGACACGGCCCAGACUCCUACGGGAGGCAGCAGUAGGGAAUUUUCGGCAAUGGGGGAAACCCUGACCGAGCAACGCCGCGUGAGCGAAGAAGGCCUUCGGGUCGUAAAGCUCUGUUGUAAAGGAAGAACGGCGCAUACAGGAAAUGGUAUGCGAGUGACGGUACUUUACCAGAAAGCCACGGCUAACUACGUGCCAGCAGCCGCGGUAAUACGUAGGUGGCGAGCGUUAUCCGGAAUCAUUGGGCGUAAAGAGGGAGCAGGCGGCCGCAAGGGUCUGUGGUGAAAGACCGAAGCUAAACUUCGGUAAGCCAUGGAAACCGGGCGGCUAGAGUGCGGAAGAGGAUCGUGGAAUUCCAUGUGUAGCGGUGAAAUGCGUAGAUAUAUGGAGGAACACCAGUGGCGAAGGCGACGGUCUGGGCCGCAACUGACGCUCAUUCCCGAAAGCGUGGGGAGCAAAUAGGAUUAGAUACCCUAGUAGUCCACGCCGUAAACGAUGGUCACUAAGUGUCGGGGGUCAAACCCCGGUGCUGCAGUCAACGCAAUAAGUGACCCGCCUGAGUAGUACGUUCGCAAGAAUGAAACUC
RNAcentral lists this ribosomal RNA (899 nucleotides) under uncultured bacterium. Its description in RNAcentral is "bacterial SSU rRNA". It matches the Rfam family "Bacterial small subunit ribosomal RNA", at positions 1 to 902 of the family's 1533-position model. The record is from RNAcentral.